Molecule: ribosomal RNA, 415 nt
Filed under: uncultured bacterium
Lineage: Bacteria
Description: bacterial SSU rRNA
Rfam family: Bacterial small subunit ribosomal RNA
Source: RNAcentral
AUUGAACGCUGGCGGUAGGCCUAACACAUGCAAGUCGAGCGCGAAAGUGCCUUCGGGUGCGAGUAGAGCGGCGGACGGGUGCGUAACGCGUAGGAAUCUGCCUGGUAGUGGGGGGAUAACUCGGGGAAACUCGAGCUAAUACCGCAUACGCUCCAUGGGGGAAAGCGGGGGACCUUCGGGCCUCGCGCUAUCAGAUGAGCCUGCGUCGGAUUAGCUAGUUGGUAGGGUAAUGGCCUACCAAGGCGACGAUCCGUAGCUGGUCUGAGAGGAUGAUCAGCCACACUGGGACUGAGACACGGCCCAGACUCCUACGGGAGGCAGCAGUGGGGAAUAUUGGACAAUGGGGGGCAACCCUGAUCCAGCCAUACCGCGUGUGUGAAGAAGGCCUUAGGGUUGUAAAGCACUUUCAGUAGGG